UACGAAGGGUGCUAGCGUUGUUCGGAAUUACUGGGCGUAAAGCGCGCGUAGGCGGCUUUUCAAGUCAGGGGUGAAAUCCCACGGCUCAACCGUGGAAUUGCCUUUGAAACUGUAAAGCUGGAGUGUUGGAGGGGAUAGCGGAAUUGCUAAUGUAGAGGUGAAAUUCGUAGAUAUUAGCAGGAACACCGGUGGCGAAGGCGGCUAUCUGGACGACAACUGACGCUGAGGCGCGAAAGCGUGGGGAUCAAACAGG
This 253-nucleotide ribosomal RNA is filed under the name uncultured bacterium. Its description in RNAcentral is "partial 16S ribosomal RNA". It matches the Rfam family "Bacterial small subunit ribosomal RNA", at positions 524 to 776 of the family's 1533-position model. The record is from RNAcentral.